UGCCAGACUCCUACGGGAGGCAGCAGUGGGGGAUAUUGGACAAUGGGGGAAACCCUGAUCCAGCGACGCCGCGUGAGUGAAGAAGUAUUUCGGUAUGUAAAGCUCUGUCCGCAGGGAAGAAAGAAAUGACGGUACCUGACCAAGAAGCCCCGGCUAACUACGUGCCAGCAGCCGCGGUAAUACGUAGGGGGCAAGCGUUAUCCGGAUUUACUGGGUGUAAAGGGAGCGUAGACGGCUGUGCAAGCCAGAUGUGAAAGCCCGGGGCUCAACCCCGGGACUGCAUUUGGAACUGUGUGGCUGGAGUGUCGGAGAGGCAGGCGGAAUUCCUAGUGUAGUGGUGAAAUGCUUAGAUAUCACGAAGAACCCCGAUUGCGAAGGCAGCCUGCCGCAGCGUUACUGACGCUGAGGCUCGAAAGCGCGGGUAUCGAACAGGAUUAGAUACCCUGGUAA
Molecule: ribosomal RNA, 450 nt
Filed under: uncultured bacterium
Lineage: Bacteria
Description: bacterial SSU rRNA
Rfam family: Bacterial small subunit ribosomal RNA
Source: RNAcentral